AAUUAUCAACCUUGCUUGCUUUUACUAGCUCGCUUGGCUUGGAUGUGAGGGCUUUGCUGGCUUCCUUCAGUGGAUGGUCUGCUCCCUUUAAAUGCAUUAGUGGGAUCUCUUGUGGACCGUCACUUGGUGUGAUAAUUAUCUAUGCCAUAUGACUUUGAAGCAAAACUUAUGAGAGCCUGCUUAUAACCGUCCGCAAGGACAACUCUUGACA
Molecule: unclassified non-coding RNA, 211 nt
Filed under: uncultured Agaricales
Lineage: Eukaryota; Fungi; Basidiomycota; Agaricomycetes; Agaricales
Description: sequence contains ITS2
Source: RNAcentral